RNAcentral lists this unclassified non-coding RNA (903 nucleotides) under Hevea brasiliensis (rubber tree). The record is from RNAcentral. Lineage: Eukaryota; Viridiplantae; Streptophyta; Magnoliopsida; Malpighiales; Euphorbiaceae.
AGUGAGAAGGAAAUCCUUAAUCUCGUGAAUUUGCUUGGGCUGUGUAAAAAAACAAAAAGAACAGGUACACUUAGCAGCAAAAGAAAGCAAAGGAAAUGCAAAUUAUAACAUAUAUCAACAAAUAGACGCAGCUUUUCAUACUACAUAGUAAAACCAAGAUAUUCCAUAAAGAAAGGCUCAGGAUAUUGCCAAAUAAACGUGUGAACUCACAAGCUCACACACUGGAACCAAAAGAUAUUUAUCAAAUAGUAACUUGCAAUGCAGAAACACAGAUGACAAGAGUUUGACACUUGGGACAAGAAUGAAUACACUUACAAACAAUCCAUUAACAAAAUCCUAAUUAUGGGAGCUUAAAGCAGCCACCAAAGAGAAGAAAAGGCCUAUUCCUAGUUCAUUAAGAACAUUACAACACUGAAAGUCACAACACCCUCAUAUAACAAGAGAAGUUUACAAUGGUUAACUGAAUAUUCUGAACCUCUACAAGCAAAUUGUUUAUCAAAUAAAAUAUAAAAUAAUUCUACUAAUUAAACUUAUUUAGGAAAAAGUGCAAAAGGUAACAAGAAAAUGUAGUUUCCCAACACAAUGCAACAUGCAAUGUGGCCUUGGAUAGCAAGGGAGUCAACUUUCUAGGCUUUACAAAUAGCAGCAUUAACUAAUUAAACUUGAGUGCAAAGCUACAUUAAACAUUCAAGUGAAGCCUUUGCAGUUUACACAGAAAUUAAAAGGCAAAAAAUAAAGAAAAAAAAAAUUGAGAUCACUGUUUAUCAAAAUAUCAUUUGAAAAAUAAUUACUCCAAUUUCCCAUUUAUGGACAUGUUCAAAGUCAAAAACCAACAUAAUUUGUUUAUAUACAUGUUUAUAGAAAUGGUAAGAGGAAAUAUAGUUUCCCGACGUCCAAAUGCAA